UCGGAUGUGGUGCACGGCGCACAGCAGCUCCUGUUGAUAUUUUGACGAGAGUGUUGUAGGCUGAAGACCGGGGUUCGAUUCCCCGCGUCCGAA
This is a non-coding RNA of Mycena rebaudengoi, 93 nucleotides long. NCBI's taxonomy places the organism in Eukaryota, Fungi, Basidiomycota, Agaricomycetes, Agaricales, Mycenaceae. The record is from the annotation of a GenBank genome assembly.